RNAcentral lists this long non-coding RNA (933 nucleotides) under Vulpes vulpes (red fox). RNAcentral describes it as "lncRNA (ENSVVUG00000013341.1)". Lineage: Eukaryota; Metazoa; Chordata; Mammalia; Carnivora; Canidae. The record is from RNAcentral.
CACACACACACCCCACCACCCCCAAAUAAGCCACUGUGGUCACUUUAGGAGGAGCAGACAGCAGCGACUGGCACUGGGGGUAGAGACCGGAGGGCUGCAGAUGGGCCGAGGCCGCGUCGCCGCGCGCUUUCGGGGGCGCAGCGCGGAGGCUUAGGCGGGGGGCCCGGCGCCCGCCCGGGUGGCGGCUGCGGCGGCGGCAGGAGCCUCCCGGAGCCCGGCUUCCCGCAGAAUUCUGCAGCCCGCGCCUCGAGGCAAUCACGUCCACCCGAGAGCUCCGCUCCAAGCGCCUCGCUUUAGAAGCUGGAGCUUUGGAGGUUCUGGGGACCGUCCCCGGGGGAGCGGGGGCCAGGCUGGGCGGCUGUCGCGUCCCCUCGGGCUCCUGCUGGGUACCCGGGGAGAGAACGCCAGAAAUGGCUUUGCUGCCGAAUGCAUCCUCUUGCCGUGUUCGUGUCCCGACACGGCCCACGCGAUCGCCUGAUCGAUCGGAAAUAGGAGGGAAAGGCAGAGUGGAAAUUGAUUUCUUGCAGAGACUGAGGCGCCGAAUGAUAGAGGGAAUAAACAUUUGCCCUGGAUAAAAAUGUUCUUGGCUGUGUUCCAACCCUAAUAAGGACCUGCAGCAGAAGUUUUUCUUCAGUCAUCUAAUGUUAUCCAAAAGAUUACUUGUGUGUUAUAUCUCUUUUUACACAUGCUGACAAAUGUUGGUAGGGGGAUCUGAGAUCCACACAAGGAGGAUGAAUGCUCUGAAUUACAUUUGUUACAAAUUCAACCUUAACAAUUGUGAUAUACAGAUAUACAAUCUUCAUAAGCUGCCUAAACCUACUUACCUAAAUUGCUAUUCAAAGAAAUACAGUAAUUUGUUGAAGACCCAACCUAAGUUAGGAAAUGUAACAUUUGUGAAAUAAAUGUAAGGUUGUUGUUCUUUUAAAUAUUUGA